This 497-nucleotide ribosomal RNA is filed under the name uncultured bacterium. RNAcentral describes it as "partial 16S ribosomal RNA". It matches the Rfam family "Bacterial small subunit ribosomal RNA", at positions 28 to 507 of the family's 1533-position model. The record is from RNAcentral.
GAUGAACGCUGGAGGCGUGCCUAAUACAUGCAAGUCGAGCGAACAGACGAGGAGCUUGCUCCUCUGACGUUAGCGGCGGACGGGUGAGUAACACGUGGAUAACCUACCUAUAAGACUGGGAUAACUUCGGGAAACCGGAGCUAAUACCGGAUAAUAUAUUGAACCGCAUGGUUCAAUAGUGAAAGACGGUUUUGCUGUCACUUAUAGAUGGAUCCGCGCCGCAUUAGAUAGUUGGUAAGGUAACGGCUUACCAAGGCAACGAUGCGUAGCCGACCUGAGAGGGUGAUCGGCCACACUGGAACUGAGACACGGUCCAGACUCCUACGGGAGGCCGCAGUAGGGAAUCUUCCGCAAUGGGCGAAAGCCUGACGGAGCAACGCCGCGUGAGUGAUGAAGGUCUUCGGAUCGUAAAACUCUGUUAUUAGGGAAGAACAAAUGUGUAAGUAACUAUGCACGUCUUGACGGUACCUAAUCAGAAAGCCACGGCUAACUACGUG